Molecule: long non-coding RNA, 435 nt
Filed under: Physcomitrium patens
Lineage: Eukaryota; Viridiplantae; Streptophyta; Bryopsida; Funariales; Funariaceae
Description: long non-coding RNA (PPAT_LNC006006)
Source: RNAcentral
AUCCAAUAGGAUUAUAGAGAAUUUACAAUUAAAUAUUAACAAUCAUAAUCAAACAUUAAGCAAGCUCAAUUAAAUUUUAUUGAAGUUAUAAAAGAAAUACAAGGAAUUCCUAAAGAAAUAUAAAAGAAUAUUAAAGAAAACUUAGUCAAACCCUAACAAAAAUCUAAUAGAACCUUAAAUUCUAACCAAAUCCUAAUCCUAAUCUAACCUUAAUCAAAUCCUAGACAAAUCCUAAAUUCUAAACCAAAUCCUAAUCAAAUCUUAAUCAAAUCCUAAACCUUAAACCAAUCCAUAAUCAAAUCCUAAACCAAAUCCUAAAUCCUAAUCCAAAUCCUAAAUCCUAAAUCAAAUCCUAAACCAAAUCCUAAAUUCUAAAUCCUAAUCCAAAUCCUAAACCAUAUCCUAAUCCUAACAAACCCUAAAUCCUAAACCAAA